CAAGGAAUUUUCCGCAAUGGGGGCAACCCUGACGGAGCAACGCCGCGUGUGGGAUGACGCCUUUUGGGGUGUAAACCACUUUUGCCGAGGAGGAGAACGGACAGUACUCGGCGAAUCAGGGCCGGCUAACUACGUGCCAGCAGCCGCGGUAAUACGUAGGGCCCGAGCGUUGUCCGGAAUGACUGGGCGUAAAGCGCGCGCAGGCGGUCUUUCAAGCGGCACGUGAAAGCCCCGGGCUUAACCCGGGAGGGUCGUGGCGAACUGGGAGACUUGAGACCGGUAGAGGCGGGUGGAAUUCCUGGUGGAGUGGUGAAAUGCGUAGAGAUCAGGAAGAACACCGGUGGCGAAGGCGGCCCGCUGGGCCGGCACUGACGCUGAAGCGCGAAGGCGUGGGGAGCGAACAGGAUUAGAUACCCCCGUAGUCC
This 425-nucleotide ribosomal RNA is filed under the name uncultured bacterium. Its description in RNAcentral is "bacterial SSU rRNA". It matches the Rfam family "Bacterial small subunit ribosomal RNA", at positions 355 to 796 of the family's 1533-position model. The record is from RNAcentral.